ACCUGAUGAAUACAUUAGAUGACGAGUCUGAUUUGGAUUUUCCAAUGCGGAUAAACCCUUUUUUAUACCAUUCAUGCAACGACUGAAC
This 88-nucleotide small nucleolar RNA is filed under the name Colletotrichum sublineola. The record is from RNAcentral. Lineage: Eukaryota; Fungi; Ascomycota; Sordariomycetes; Glomerellales; Glomerellaceae.